AUUGAACGCUAGCGGGAUGCCUUACACAUGCAAGUCGAACGCGAGCAGCAAUGCUCGAGUGGCGAACGGGUGAGUAAUACAUAAGUAACCUGCCCUAGACAGGGGGAUAACUGCUGGAAACGGCAGCUAAGACCGCAUAGGUAUGGACACUGCAUGGUGACCAUAUUAAAAGUGCCAAGGCACUGGUAGAGGAUGGACUUAUGGCGCAUUAGCUGGUUGGUGAGGUAACGGCUCACCAAGGCGACGAUGCGUAGCCGACCUGAGAGGGUGACCGGCCACACUGGGACUGAGACACGGCCCAG
Molecule: ribosomal RNA, 302 nt
Filed under: uncultured bacterium
Lineage: Bacteria
Description: bacterial SSU rRNA
Rfam family: Bacterial small subunit ribosomal RNA
Source: RNAcentral